GAUGAACGCUGGCGGCAUGCCUAACACAUGCAAGUCGAUCGGUAAGGCUCUUCGGAGUACACGAGAGGCGGACGGCUGAGUAACGCGUAGGAACACACCCUGCAGUGAGGGAUAAGACACCGAAAGGUGUUCUAAUACCGCAUACGGUCUUCGGAUUAAAGCAUUUAUGCGCUGAAGGAGUGGCCUGCGUCAUAUUAGAUAGUUGGUGAGGUAAUGGCUCACCAAGUCGAUGAUGUGUAGCUGGUCUGAGAGGAUGAUCAGCCAGACUGGAACUGAGACACGGUCCAGACUCCUACGGGAGGCAGCAGUGAGGAAUAUUUCACAAUGAGCGAAAGCUUGAUGGAGCAAUGCCGCGUGCAGGAUGAAGGCCCUCGGAUUGUAAACUGCUUUUAUAAGAGAAGAUUAUGACGGUAACUGAUGAAUAAGGGACGGCUAACUACGUG
This 443-nucleotide ribosomal RNA is filed under the name uncultured bacterium. Its description in RNAcentral is "partial 16S ribosomal RNA". It matches the Rfam family "Bacterial small subunit ribosomal RNA", at positions 28 to 507 of the family's 1533-position model. The record is from RNAcentral.